Molecule: ribosomal RNA, 462 nt
Filed under: uncultured bacterium
Lineage: Bacteria
Description: bacterial SSU rRNA
Rfam family: Bacterial small subunit ribosomal RNA
Source: RNAcentral
UGGCGGCGUGCUUCAUACAUGCAAGUCGAACGAUAAGGUCUCUUCGGAGAUACAUAAGUGGCGGACGGGUGAGUAAUGUGUAGAGAAUCUGCCCUAGAGUGGGGGACGAACAGUUGGAAACGGCUGCUAAUACCCCAUAUGAGCGUACCUGUGAUGGUAUUCUUGAAAGAUUUAUUGCUCUGGGAUGAGUCUGCAUCUGAUUAGCUAGUUGGGGGUGUAAUGGACCACCAAGGCGACGAUCAGUAGCUGGUUUGAGAGGAUGAUCAGCCACAAUGGGACUGAGACACGGCCCAUACUCCUACGGGAGGCAGCAGUAGGGAAUUUUGCGCAAUGGGGGAAACCCUGACGCCAGCAACGCCGCGUGAUUGAAUAAGCCCUUCGGGGUGUAAAGAUCUGUCAGUGGGGACGAAACUUGACGGUACCCACAGAGGAAGCAUCGGCUAACUCCGUGCCAGCCGCGGC